Molecule: ribosomal RNA, 460 nt
Filed under: uncultured bacterium
Lineage: Bacteria
Description: partial 16S ribosomal RNA
Rfam family: Bacterial small subunit ribosomal RNA
Source: RNAcentral
CCUACGGGGGGCAGCAGUGAGGAAUAUUGGUCAAUGGACGAGAGUCUGAACCAGCCAAGUAGCGUGAAGGAUGACUGCCCUAUGGGUUGUAAACUUCUUUUAUAUGGGAAUAAAAUGUUCCACGUGUGGGAUUUUGUAUGUACCAUAUGAAUAAGGAUCGGCUAACUCCGUGCCAGCAGCCGCGGUAAUACGGAGGAUCCGAGCGUUAUCCGGAUUUAUUGGGUUUAAAGGGAGCGUAGGUGGAUUGUUAAGUCAGUUGUGAAAGUUUGCGGCUCAACCGUAAAAUUGCAGUUGAAACUGGCAGUCUUGAGUACAGUAGAGGUGGGCGGAAUUCGUGGUCUAGCGGUGAAAUGCUUAGAUAUCACGAAGAACUCCGAUUGCGAAGGCAGUUCACUGGACUGCAACUGACACUGAGGCUCGAAAGUGUGGGUAUCAAACAGGAUUAGAUACCCGGGUAGUC